This 73-nucleotide transfer RNA is filed under the name Candidatus Zixiibacteriota bacterium. Its description in RNAcentral is "candidate division Zixibacteria bacterium tRNA-Glu". It matches the Rfam family "tRNA". From Rfam's summary of the family: Transfer RNA (tRNA) molecules are approximately 80 nucleotides in length. Their secondary structure includes four short double-helical elements and three loops (D, anti-codon, and T loops). RNAcentral also lists the same sequence under 1 other name. Lineage: Bacteria; Pseudomonadati; Candidatus Zixiibacteriota. The record is from RNAcentral.
GACCCCAUCGUCUAGUGGCCUAGGACACCGCCCUUUCACGGCGGUAACACGGGUUCGACUCCCGUUGGGGUCA